Molecule: long non-coding RNA, 768 nt
Filed under: Homo sapiens (human)
Lineage: Eukaryota; Metazoa; Chordata; Mammalia; Primates; Hominidae
Description: non-protein coding lnc-CCDC179-1:1
Source: RNAcentral
GGGUGGGGCAGGGCUUGAAGGCUGUGGGUGUGGGGCCCCAUAAUCAUUUGGUCCAGGACAGGCAGUAGGCGUCAGGGGGCGCCCUAAGGCUCCACGGCAUGUGCCUGUAUUGCUGGGACAUCGAGCCUUCCCAAGUCAACCCUGAGGUGGAGUGGAAAUUACAGAAGUAGGGAGCAGGAUAAAGUUCUCAAUUGCCAGAUGUGGAACAGAUUGCUCUUGGGUCUUCUGGUUAAAAGAUUGGAUCAAAACGAGUGAAGGAGGAGUUAUUUAAGGAAGGACCAAGACAACAUCAUCCUUCAGAGGUCACUGAGCGGCAGCUUGCAAAUAAACGUAUUCAGAAUAUGCAACACCUAAAGAAAGAGAAGAGGAGACUGAAUAAAAGGUUUUCAAGGCCUUCUCCUAUUCCAGAACCAGGACUCCUAUCCCAGAUGUUUUUUAAAGAAAUGUCUACAAACUGUUCUAUACCAUUCAUCCCACCAACUGGUUUGAGGUUGCAGAGACAACUGAAAUGUUUCACAAAUAAUGGUCAUCUUGAUAAAGCAGGAGUCUAUUUGAAGGAAACCAUGCUCCAGACAGAAAUAUGUGGAUUGUGAACAUCAAGUGACAUAUCAUGAAUUGAUCAUCCACAAAAUAAAUGCAAUACUCCACCAUUUCGGAAAAAUAAACACAGUGCAAGUAUUUAAUAUCCAAGCUACAGGCUCUAGAAUUUUAUUAAAUGCCAUCUCUCACUACCAUAUUUUUCUUUCCUGUGGUAAACUUGAAAUUUGC